RNAcentral lists this ribosomal RNA (800 nucleotides) under uncultured bacterium. RNAcentral's name for it is "bacterial SSU rRNA". It matches the Rfam family "Bacterial small subunit ribosomal RNA", at positions 8 to 857 of the family's 1533-position model. The record is from RNAcentral.
AGAGUUUGAUCAUGGCUCAGAGCGAACGCUGGCGGCAGGCCUAACACAUGCAAGUCGAACGAACCUUCGGGUUAGUGGCGGACGGGUGAGUAACACGUGGGAACGUGCCUUUUGGUUCGGAACAACUCAGGGAAACUUGAGCUAAUACCGAAUGUGCCCUUCGGGGGAAAGAUUUAUCGCCAUUAGAGCGGCCCGCGUCUGAUUAGCUUGUUGGUGAGGUAAAGGCUCACCAAGGCUACGAUCAGUAGCUGGUCUGAGAGGAUGAUCAGCCACAUUGGGACUGAGACACGGCCCAAACUCCUACGGGAGGCAGCAGUGGGGAAUCUUGCGCAAUGGGCGAAAGCCUGACGCAGCCAUGCCGCGUGAAUGAUGAAGGUCUUAGGAUUGUAAAAUUCUUUCACCGGGGACGAUAAUGACGGUACCCGGAGAAGAAGCCCCGGCUAACUUCGUGCCAGCAGCCGCGGUAAUACGAAGGGGGCUAGCGUUGCUCGGAAUUACUGGGCGUAAAGGGAGCGUAGGCGGAUAGUUUAGUCAGAGGUGAAAGCCCAGGGCUCAACCUUGGAAUUGCCUUUGAUACUGGCUAUCUUGAGUUUGGGAGAGGUGAGUGGAACUCCGAGUGUAGAGGUGAAAUUCGUAGAUAUUCGGAAGAACACCAGUGGCGAAGGCGACUCACUGGCCCAAUACUGACGCUGAGGCUCGAAAGCGUGGGGAGCAAACAGGAUUAGAUACCCUGGUAGUCCACGCCGUAAACGAUGAGUGCUAGUUGUCGGCAUGCAUGCAUGUCGGUGACGCAGCUAACG